GUCCCGUUCAUCUAGUGGUUAGGAUCGCAGGGUUUCAUCCUGUUAACGAGAGUUCGAAUCUCUCACGGGGCUCCA
Molecule: transfer RNA, 75 nt
Filed under: compost metagenome
Description: tRNA-Glu
Rfam family: tRNA
About the family: Transfer RNA (tRNA) molecules are approximately 80 nucleotides in length. Their secondary structure includes four short double-helical elements and three loops (D, anti-codon, and T loops).
Source: RNAcentral